Molecule: long non-coding RNA, 915 nt
Filed under: Solanum tuberosum (potato)
Lineage: Eukaryota; Viridiplantae; Streptophyta; Magnoliopsida; Solanales; Solanaceae
Description: long non-coding RNA (STUB_LNC002938)
Source: RNAcentral
GAUAGAUCGGCAAAAGGUCAUCUCCUAGCAGCUAGGGUUUUCAAAUUGAGCUCCCUUUUUUCUCUCCAAUGCCGUCGUUGGGUGUUGUUACCAACUCCACCUUCCUCCUUUUUUAUGCUAUGGAUCAUCAACAUCUUCCUCAUCUUUAUACCGUCAUUCAUCUUUCUCAGAUCGCAGAGGUCGACCUCCACUAUCUUUUGCACUUUUACACUUUUCCCAUUUUCCUUAUUUCUUCUGAACUCUUUUUUCUCUUUUACAAAGAUUAGCUCCGAUGGAUGAAAUGGUUAUCAACGUGGUUUCGAUAGAGCGACAAAAGGUCUUUUACUGUAGCUUCGAAUAAAAAAGGAAAAGCUCAUAAAAAUCAUCGAAUUCAAGCUUUGUCCAUGAGAUUUUCAGUACUGAUGGCCUCAUAAACAUCCUCCAUGCCUCUUUCAGUUUGAAAAGGUAACCCCAUCUCCCUUCUUUAUUUCUUUUCACUAUUAAUCUAUAUCAUUUUCCUUUGGUGAAUCAAUCUUUUCAUUGGAAAGGCACUUGAAGCAAGUAAAGAAAGAAUUUUACAAUUGCUAUUUGGAGUACCAUGAUUUAUACAAAUAAAAAGCAAACAACUUAAAAUAAUUUCAAGCCGAAAAUGUAGACAAGACAGGUGCAAGUAUACAAAUACAAAAGGAGAUUAAAGAAAGGAUUGAACGUACAUGAAGAACUCAAAAAAGCUAAUAAAUGUUUUUAUUUGAUUCAACAAUUUUAUAAUUAAAUAGGAUUACUGGCAAUAGAAAGUUGUAGUAAAUUCUUUCUAUUUUGGAGGUCUUUGGGAUUGGGUUUCCUUUCUGAAAAGUAGUAUCACACUAAGUGUAUUUGUUUGUUCAAUGAUAAUAUUCUUAAUUUAUUACAAAUAAAAAGAAGAAAAAAGUCCGAAGC